UACGUAGGGAGCGAGCGUUGUCCGGAAUCAUUGGGCGUAAAGAGCAUGUAGGUGGAUCAAUUAGUCUGCUGUGAAAGUCAAAGGCUCAACCUUUGAAAGCCGGUGGAUACUGUUGAUCUAGAGUACGGAAGAGGCGAGUGGAAUUCCUGGUGUAGCGGUGGAAUGCGCAGAUAUCAGGAGGAACACCAAUAGCGAAGGCAGCUCGCUGGGACGUUACUGACACUGAGAUGCGAAAGCGUGGGGAGCAAACAGG
This 253-nucleotide ribosomal RNA is filed under the name uncultured bacterium. RNAcentral's name for it is "partial 16S ribosomal RNA". It matches the Rfam family "Bacterial small subunit ribosomal RNA", at positions 524 to 776 of the family's 1533-position model. The record is from RNAcentral.